This 63-nucleotide transfer RNA is filed under the name Fasciolopsis buskii. RNAcentral's name for it is "Fasciolopsis buski tRNA-Leu". The record is from RNAcentral. Lineage: Eukaryota; Metazoa; Platyhelminthes; Trematoda; Plagiorchiida; Fasciolidae.
UUUGAGGUGCCAGAUUAUAUGGGUAUGGUUUAGGACCUUAUUAUGACAUUGAAGUCUCUCAAG